This 424-nucleotide ribosomal RNA is filed under the name Verrucomicrobiota bacterium. RNAcentral describes it as "Verrucomicrobia bacterium partial 16S ribosomal RNA". It matches the Rfam family "Bacterial small subunit ribosomal RNA", at positions 355 to 776 of the family's 1533-position model. The record is from RNAcentral. Lineage: Bacteria; Pseudomonadati; Verrucomicrobiota.
UGAGGAAUAUUGGUCAAUGGACGCAAGUCUGAACCAGCCAAGUAGCGUGCAGGAUGACGGCCCUAUGGGUUGUAAACUGCUUUUAUAUGGGGAUAAAGUGGGGAACGUGUUCCCUUUUGCAGGUACCAUACGAAUAAGGACCGGCUAAUUCCGUGCCAGCAGCCGCGGUAAUACGGAAGGUCCAGGCGUUAUCCGGAUUUAUUGGGUUUAAAGGGAGCGUAGGCUGUUUGUUAAGCGUGUUGUGAAAUGUAGGAGCUCAACUUUUAGAUUGCAGCGCGAACUGGCAGACUUGAGUGCGCACAACGUAGGCGGAAUUCAUGGUGUAGCGGUGAAAUGCUUAGAUAUCAUGACGAACUCCGAUUGCGAGGGCAGCUUACGGGAGCGCAACUGACGCUAAAGCUCGAAGGUGCGGGUAUCGAACAGG